ACAUUAGACGAAGCGGUCUGGAACGACCCGCGACAGAAGGUAAGAGCCCUGUAGUCGAAAGUGUGUUUCCUCCGGAGUGGAUCCUGAGUACGGCGGAACACGUGAAAUUCCGUCGGAAUCCGGGAGGACCAUCUCCCAAGGCUAAAUACUACCUAGUGACCGAUAGUGAACCAGUACCGUGAGGGAAAGGUGAAAAGCACCCCGGAAGGGGAGUGAAAGAGAUCCUGAAACCGUGUGCCUACAAGUAGUCGGAGCCCUUUCAUGGGUGACGGCGUACCUUUUGUAGAAUGGACCGGCGAGUUACGAUCCCCUGCAAGGUUAAGUGGAAGACACGGAGCCGCAGCGAAAGCGAGUCUGAAUAGGGCGAUAUAGUAGGUGGUCGUAGACCCGAAACCGUGUGAUCUACCCAUGUCCAGGGUGAAGGUCAGGUAACACUGACUGGAGGCCCGAACCCACGUACGUUGAAAAGUGCGGGGAUGAGGUGUGGGUAGGGGUGAAAUGCCAAUCGAACACGGAGAUAGCUGGUUCUCUCCGAAAUAGCUUUAGGGCUAGCCUCAAGGGAUGUAUGUUGGAGGUAGAGCACUGAUUGGACUAGGGGCCCUCACCGGGUUACCGAAUUCAGUCAAACUCCGAAUGCCAAUCAUAUUACCUUGGGAGUCAGACUAUGGGUGAUAAGGUUCAUAGUCGAAAGGGAAACAGCCCAGACCGUCAGCUAAGGUCCCCAAGUAUACGUUAAGUGGAAAAGGAUGUGGCGUUGCUUAGACAACCAGGAUGUUGGCUUAGAAGCAGCCAUCAUUUAAAGAGUGCGUAAUAGCUCACUGGUCGAGUGACGCUGCGCCGAAAAUAUACCGGGGCUAAACGUAUCACCGAAGCUACGGAUUGUUCUUCGAACAAUGGUAGGAGAGCGUUCUAAGUGCAGUGAAGUCAGACCGUGAGGACUGGUGGAGCGCUUAGAAGUGAGAAUGCCGGUAUGAGUAGCGAAAAAGAAGUGAGAAUCUUCUUCACCGAAUGCCUAAGGUUUCCUGAGGAAGGCUCGUCCGCUCAGGGUUAGUCGGGGCCUAAGCCGAGGCCGAAAGGCGUAGGCGAUGGACAACAGGUUGAUAUUCCUGUACCACCCAAUUCCGUUUGAGUGAUGGGGGGACGCAGAAGGAUAAGGAAUGCGCACCAUUGGAUGUGUGCGUCGAAGCAGUAAGAGCGUCAGAUAGGCAAAUCCGUCUGGCAAGCUUGAGCUGUGAUCGGGAGGGAAAUAGAGUACCGAAGUUCCGGAUUUCACGCUGCCAAGAAAAGCCUCUAGCAAGGAAAAGGGUGCCCGUACCGCAAACCGACACAGGUAGGCGAGGAGAGAAUCCUAAGGUGAUCGGGAGAACUCUCGUUAAGGAACUCGGCAAAAUGACCCCGUAACUUCGGGAGAAGGGGUGCUCCUUUAAGGAGGAGCCGCAGUGAAAAGGCCCAAGCGACUGUUUAGCAAAAACACAGGUCUCUGCGAAGCCGAAAGGCGAAGUAUAGGGGCUGACACCUGCCCGGUGCUGGAAGGUUAAGGGGAUGCGUUAGCAUUAGCGAAGCGUUGAACCGAAGCCCCAGUAAACGGCGGCCGUAACUAUAACGGUCCUAAGGUAGCGAAAUUCCUUGUCGGGUAAGUUCCGACCCGCACGAAAGGUGCAACGACUUGGGCACUGUCUCAACGAGAGACCCGGUGAAAUUAUACUAUGCGUGAAGAUGCGCAUUACCCGCGACAGGACGGAAAGACCCCGUGGAGCUUUACUGUAGCCUGAUAUUGAAUGUUGGUACAGCUUGUACAGGAUAGGUGGGAGCCUGAGAAACGUGAGCGCUAGCUUACGUGGAGGCGCCGGUGGGAUACCACCCUGGCUGUAUUGACCUUCUAACCCAGAACCGUGAUCCGGUUCGGAGACAGUGUCAGGUGGGCAGUUUGACUGGGGCGGUCGCCUCCUAAAAUGUAACGGAGGCGCCCAAAGGUUCCCUCAGAAUGGUUGGAAAUCAUUCGUAGAGUGUAAAGGCAGAAGGGAGCUUGACUGCGAGACCUACAAGUCGAGCAGGGACGAAAGUCGGGCUUAGUGAUCCGGCGGUACCGAAUGGAAGGGCCGUCGCUCAACGGAUAAAAGCUACCCCGGGGAUAACAGGCUUAUCUCCCCCAAGAGUCCACAUCGACGGGGAGG
This 2174-nucleotide ribosomal RNA is filed under the name Bacillus sp. FJAT-45505. Its description in RNAcentral is "bacterial LSU rRNA". It matches the Rfam family "Bacterial large subunit ribosomal RNA", at positions 326 to 2516 of the family's 2925-position model. The record is from RNAcentral. Lineage: Bacteria; Bacillati; Bacillota; Bacilli; Caryophanales; Bacillaceae.